Molecule: ribosomal RNA, 696 nt
Filed under: uncultured archaeon
Lineage: Archaea
Description: bacterial SSU rRNA
Rfam family: Archaeal small subunit ribosomal RNA
Source: RNAcentral
UCUGGUUGAUCCUGCCGGACCUGACUGCUAUCGUAUUGGUACUAAGCCAUGCGAGUCGUUGUACAAUACAAGGCGGACUGCUCAGUAACACAUAGUUAACUUAACCUAUGGAUGGGAAUAAUCUCGGGAAACUGAGAAUAAUACCCAAUGGGCCACAGUGCCUGGAAUGGCCUGUGGUUGAAAUGAUUUAUCGCCGUAGGAUAGGACUGCGGCCUAUCAGCUUGUUGGUGAGGUAAUGGCCCACCAAGGCUAUAACAGGUACGGGCUCUGAGAGGAGGGGCCCGGAGAUGGGUACUGAGACACGGACCCAGGCCCUAUGGGGCGCAGCAGGCGAGAAACCUUUGCAAUGUGCGAAAGCACGACAAGGUUAAUCCGAGUGUCUCCUUGGCNUAANCAGGGGGGAAAAAAGGGUUUCCUUUUUAUGGUCCAGUNUGGUAGGAAUCCAACUGGGNUGACACUACAGGGGUUGGGGCACAGGUUUCCUGGNUUGUCAGGCCCGACGGCCGGUAAAAAACCAGCNACCCUCGAGUGGGNUCAGGAGGUAUUAUUGGGCCUUAAAAGCAUCCGUAAAGACCCCGGGUUUGCAUAACGGUUUUUACGGUUAAAUCUAUGCGCUUAACGUAUAGGCCGCCGAAAAUACUGUGCAGCUAGGGAGUGGAGAGGUACACGGUACUCGAUACGAAGGGGUAACAUCCU